UAUUGGAUUAAACUAUCCAAUCAUAUAUAACUAAAAUUAAAAUUUUAUAUGAAUAAUAAUUUUUUACUUUAAAAAUAUUCUGUAUAUUUUCUCAAGUAUACAAUUAAUAGCAAGAUAGGUAACGGCAGCCAUAUGCUGCUACUUGGUAACUUGAAGGGCUUCCGACUUGGCCAAAUAGGGUGAGAGAUAGAAAAAGAGAAAGAGAGAAACACAUUGAAAAUUUAAAGCUCUGUGAAAGAAAGAAAGAAAGGAAAAAUAAAUAAAUUUAGUAAAAUUUUGCUCUUUUAUNGGCUGAAAAUCUACAAGCACCAAUGUCUUGAUACUUUUAAAAGCAUAGGAGCUCAAUUCUAUAUAUAUAUAUAUAUAUAUAUAUAUAUAUAUAUAGUGUAGAAUUACUAUGUUAUCGAAAAUAUAGAGGAUUUGAUGUUUUCGAAUUUUUGACCCUUUGAUUAAGAAUUGUAUGGUUGGGAUGAUUGCGGUUCCCGCUAGGAUUAAAUAAUAUCUCUAGAAUUGAGUGGUCCCUAUAAGAUAAUAAUAGUAUUAAUUCAAAGAAAUGAUUAGUUGAUCUAAAAAUCAAAAAAUUGAAAGCACCAGAUCUUCUAUACUUUAUGUUAUCGAAAAUAUAGAGGAUUUGAUGUUUUCGAAUUUUUGACCCUUUGAUUAAGAAUUGUAUGGUUGGGAUGAUUGCGGUCCCCCUAGGAUUAAAUAAUAUCCUUAGAAUUGAGUGGUCCCUACAAGAUAAUAAUAGUAUUAAUUCAAAGAAAUGAUUAGUUGAUCUAAAAAUCAAAAAAUCGAAAGCACCAGUUUCUCUGUACUUUUGAUAGCAUAU
This 829-nucleotide long non-coding RNA is filed under the name Ananas comosus (pineapple). RNAcentral's name for it is "long non-coding RNA (ACOM_LNC040657)". The record is from RNAcentral. Lineage: Eukaryota; Viridiplantae; Streptophyta; Magnoliopsida; Poales; Bromeliaceae.